UACUUUGUUUGUUCGAAGUUUUUUCUGGUUUUCUCGAAUCAUGUCAAACUGGCGCGGCGAUCAGGAUCCCCCUGUGGCACCUGAAGAUUUCCUCGAGCUCGUAUAUGAAGAUGAGGUCGAGAUUUCUUAUGAAGAGGGUGAAUCCGAUGGAUCAGAGAUGAUUGAAACGGACCUGGAAGACGAGUUUGAAACUUGCAACA
This is a long non-coding RNA of Aricia agestis (brown argus), 200 nucleotides long. RefSeq lists it as uncharacterized. The record is from RefSeq and is a predicted model, not a curated record. The transcript has 3 exons. Lineage: Eukaryota; Metazoa; Arthropoda; Insecta; Lepidoptera; Lycaenidae.